Molecule: ribosomal RNA, 596 nt
Filed under: uncultured archaeon
Lineage: Archaea
Description: bacterial SSU rRNA
Rfam family: Archaeal small subunit ribosomal RNA
Source: RNAcentral
CGUGGCGUACGGCUCAGUAACACGUAGUCAACCUGCCCUGGAGACAUGGAAAACCCCGGGAAACUGGGAUUAAUCCGUGAUAGGUCAUCUCAUCUGGAAGGAGAGAUGGCUUAAAGGGGUGCGCGGGCUUCUUCUGCGUAUUCGCUCCAGGAUGGGACUGCGUCCGAUCAGGCUGUUGGCGGGGUAAUGGCCCACCAAGCCAGUAACCGGUACGGGCCUUGAGAGAGGUGGCCCGGAGAUGGACACUGAGAGAAGGGUCCAGGUCCUACGGGGCGCAGCAGGCGCGAAACCUUCGCAAUGCGCGAAAGCGUGACGAGGUUAAUCCGAGUGAUUUCCGCUGAGGAGAUCUUUUGUCAGCUGUAAAUAGGCGGGCGAAUAAGGGGAGGGCAAGCCUGGUGUCAGCCGCCGCGGUAAUACCAGCUCCUCGAGUGGUCGGGGCGAUUAUUGGGCCUAAAGCAUCCGUAGCCGGUUCCGUAGGUCCUCUGUUAAAUCCAACCGCUUAACGGUUGACAUGCAGAGGAUACCGCGAGACUAGGAGGCGGGAGAGGCGGACGGUACUCCGCGUGUAGGGGUAAAAUCCUUUGAUCCGCGGAAGA